AGUGGCGAACGGGUGAGUAAAGUAUCGGAACGUGCCCAGUCGUGGGGGAUAACGUAGCGAAAGUUACGCUAAUACCGCAUACGAUCUAUGGAUGAAAGCGGGGGAUCGCAAGACCUCGCGCGAUUGGAGCGGCCGAUAUCAGAUUAGGUAGUUGGUGGGGUAAAGGCUCACCAAGCCGACGAUCUGUAGCUGGUCUGAGAGGACGACCAGCCACACUGGGACUGAGACACGGCCCAGACUCCUACGGGAGGCAGCAGUGGGGAAUUUUGGACAAUGGGCGCAAGCCUGAUCCAGCCAUGCCGCGUGCAGGAUGAAGGCCUUCGGGUUGUAAACUGCUUUUGUACGGAACGAAAAGGUUUGGCCUAAUCAGCUGAGCUCAUGACGGUACCGUAAGAAUAAGCACCGGCUAACUACGUGCCAGCAGCCGCGGUAAUACGUAGGGUGCGAGCGUUAAUCGGAAUUACUGGGCGUAAAGCGUGCGCAGGCGGUUAUGUAAGACAGAUGUGAAAUCCCCGGGCUCAACCUGGGAACUGCAUUAGUGACUGCAUAGCUGGAGUACGGCAGAGGGGGGAUGGAAUUCCGCGUGUAGCAGUGAAAUGCGUAGAUAUGCGGAGGAACACCGAUGGCGAAGGCAAUCCCCUGGGCCUGUACUGACGCUCAUGCACGAAAGCGUGG
Molecule: ribosomal RNA, 675 nt
Filed under: uncultured Curvibacter sp.
Lineage: Bacteria; Pseudomonadati; Pseudomonadota; Betaproteobacteria; Burkholderiales; Comamonadaceae
Description: bacterial SSU rRNA
Rfam family: Bacterial small subunit ribosomal RNA
Source: RNAcentral